RNAcentral lists this ribosomal RNA (509 nucleotides) under uncultured bacterium. Its description in RNAcentral is "partial 16S ribosomal RNA". It matches the Rfam family "Bacterial small subunit ribosomal RNA", at positions 28 to 523 of the family's 1533-position model. The record is from RNAcentral.
GACGAACGCUGGCGGCGUGCUUAACACAUGCAAGUGGAGCGACGAACCAGGGCUUGCCCUGGGGCAGAGCCGCGAACGGGUGAGUAACACGUGGGUAACGUGCCCCGAUGACCGGGACAACCCGAGGAAACUCGGGCUAAUACCGGAUGAGGACCUCUCACAUCAGUGAGUUGUCUAAAGGUAGCUUCGGCUUCCGCAUUGGGAGCGGCCCGCGGCCCAUUAGCUUGUUGGUGAGGUAACGGCUUACCAAGGCUUCGAUGGGUAGCUGGUCUGAGAGGACGAUCAGCCACACUGGGACUGAGACACGGCACAGACUCCUACGGGAGGCAGCAGUGGGGAAUCUUGCGCAAUGCGCGAAAGCGUGACGCAGCAGCGCCGCGUGGGGGAAGACGGCCUUCGGGUUGUAAACCCCUUUCAGGAGGGACGAAGGUCACACGGUUAAUAGCCGGCGUGACUGACGGUACCUCCAGAAGAAGCCCCGGCUAACUACGUGCCAGCAGCCGCGGUAA